UCUCCGUAGGUGAACCUGCGGAGGGAUCAUUACAGAGGUCGUGCCCUCACGGGUAGAUCUCCCACCCUGUGUUAUUAUACCUUUGUUGCUUUGGCGGGCCGCCCUCGGCUACCGGCCCCGGCUGGUACGCGCCCGCCAGAGGACCCCAAACUCUGAAUGUUAGUGUCGUCUGAGUACUAUACAAUAGUUAAAACUUUCAACAACGGAUCUCUUGGUUCUG
This 220-nucleotide unclassified non-coding RNA is filed under the name plant metagenome. Its description in RNAcentral is "partial contains small subunit ribosomal RNA, internal transcribed spacer 1, and 5.8S ribosomal RNA". The record is from RNAcentral.